UUUCCCUUCUUUCUUUUUCUUCUUUCUCUUUUUUCUGUUUUUCCUUUUUUCCAUAUUUCCAUCUGAACGAGCAAAAGUACAAGUACAAUCAGGGGGGAUCAUCAAUAUCAAAAAACACAUAGGGCACAUCAUCAUGUAUCAGCAAGGCACGGACCCUACGUGGCAGAUCAUUGAGGCUCCGAAAGAUGGCCUCCCCCGGCCUAUCCAUCGCCCAGUCAGCUAGUGCCUGUGCAGGCAUAUUGGCCCUGGAUUCUAGGGUUUUAAUCAAUAAUGUGUUUGUGUUGAACUUGCAGAACAAUUUUCCCUAAGCAAUCAAUGGUUUAUUCAGACUAUGAAUAAAGUAUUUGAGCAUGCAGGAGAUUUGGUGAACGUAAAGGUUGCACAUAAUUUAAUGUGACUGAUUGCUGAAGGGUUUGGAGAAGAUGAUAAUAGCGCCGACAGUACUUUUUAACAUCUUUUGACUAUCCAUGUCAUCUUGAGCAUCUUUUAGUCAUUUGUUGGGUCUUGGAAGAAUAUGAAACUGCUGAUUGUAAGUAUUCUGCUGCCUAUAUAACUGGGAAAAUAUGUGAUAUUGCAGAGGCACAUUCAAGUGAUGACACUAUCAAGAUUUACCACAAAGAUAAUGAAUUACUCUUAUUUCACAUAAGAACGUGAAGAUUACAUCUUGACCUUGCCUAUUCAUUGAACUUGAGCCAUCACUACCUUUUCACCUUGCUGUAAAUAUCUGGUGUAUCACUCUCCUCAUAAUUUACCAUUGUGGCAGGGAAUUGCAUAUCUAGAUGUACUCAUCACAUCACACUUUCUUCCCAAGACAAAGGACUUCCAAAGUGCCGGCCUCUGAACAUGAGAAUAAUUAUCCAUCUUUAUGUGCAUAGAAUUGUAUAUAUUCAUGUGUCUAGUCAGACCAUAUUUAAUAAUCAUUUGUAUUACAUUACAUCCUUGUAAUUCAAUAUUAUACUAUGAAAAAAAUAUUCUUCUAUUUUGAACAUUUAAUUGAUGCUAAAAUAUUUUAUUCUCAAUUA
This is an RNA transcript of Ipomoea nil (Japanese morning glory), 1022 nucleotides long. It is a transcript of the gene named AP-4 complex subunit epsilon-like, with no coding region annotated. The transcript is spliced from 5 exons. NCBI's taxonomy places the organism in Eukaryota, Viridiplantae, Streptophyta, Magnoliopsida, Solanales, Convolvulaceae. The record is from RefSeq and is a predicted model, not a curated record.